Molecule: ribosomal RNA, 604 nt
Filed under: Botryosphaeria quercuum
Lineage: Eukaryota; Fungi; Ascomycota; Dothideomycetes; Botryosphaeriales; Botryosphaeriaceae
Description: eukaryotic LSU rRNA
Rfam family: 5.8S ribosomal RNA (bases 233-387)
Source: RNAcentral
ACAGUCGUAACAAGGUUUCCGUAGGUGAACCUGCGGAAGGAUCAUUACCGAGUGCUACGAGCGAGAGCUCGUUACCUCCCACCCUUUGUGAACAUACCUCUGUUGCUUUGGCGGCUCUCGCCGCGAGGGGAGGCCCUGAAAAGGGCCCGCCCCCCUCGCGCGCCCUCCGCCAGAGGACCUUCAAACUCCAGUCAGUAAACGUCGACGUCUGAUACACAAGUUAAUAAACUAAAACUUUCAACAACGGAUCUCUUGGGUUCUGGCAUCGAUGAAGAACGCAGCGAAAUGCGAUAAGUAAUGUGAAUUGCAGAAUUCAGUGAAUCAUCGAAUCUUUGAACGCACAUUGCGCCCCUUGGCAUUCCGAGGGGCAUGCCUGUUCGAGCGUCAUUACAACCCUCAAGCUCUGCUUGGUAUUGGGCGCCGUCCUCUCUGCGGACGCGCCUCAAAGACCUCGGCGGUGGCUGUCCAGGCCGCUGCAAGCGUAGUAGAAUACACCUCGCUUUGGAGCGGCUGGCGUCGCCGCCGGACGAACCUUCUGAACUUUUCUCAAGGUUGACCUCGGAUCAGGUAGGGAUACCCGCUGAACUUAAGCAUAUCAAUAAGC